GAUGAACGCUGGCGGCGUGCCUAAUACAUGCAAGUCGAGCGAACGGACGAUAAGCUUUCUUUUUUGAUGUUAGCGGCUGACGGGUGAGUAACACGUGGAUAACCUACCUAUAAUUCUGGGAUAAUUUCGUGAAACCGGAGCUAAUACUGGCUAAUAUUUUGUACCGCAUGGUUCAAAAGAGAAACACGGUCUUGCCGUUUCUUAUAGCUGGUUCCGCGCUGGAUUAGCUGGUUGGUAAGGUAACGGCUUACCAAGGCGACGAGGCGUAGCUGACCUGAGAGGGUGAGCGGCCACACUGGAACUGAGACACGGUCCAGACUCCGACGGGAGGCAGCAGUGGGGAAUAUGCGAAAAUGGGCGCAAGCCUGACCCAGCCAUACCGCGUGGGUGAAGAAGGUCUUCGGGUUGUAAAGCCCUUUUGUUGGGAAAGAAAAGCAGUAGGUUAAUACCCCGCUGUUCUGACGGUACCAAAAGAAUAAGCACCGGCUAACUUCGUG
This 497-nucleotide ribosomal RNA is filed under the name uncultured bacterium. RNAcentral describes it as "partial 16S ribosomal RNA". It matches the Rfam family "Bacterial small subunit ribosomal RNA", at positions 28 to 507 of the family's 1533-position model. The record is from RNAcentral.